CCUACGGGAGGCAGCAGUGAGGAAUAUUGGUCAAUGGCCGCAGGGCUGAACCAGCCAAGUCGCGUGAGGGAUGACGGUCCUAUGGAUUGUAAACCUCUUUUGUCAGGGAGCAAAGGGCGCCACGUGUGGCGCUUUGCGAGUACCUGAAGAAAAAGCAUCGGCUAACUCCGUGCCAGCAGCCGCGGUAAUACGUAGGGGGCGAGCGUUAUCCGGAUUUACUGGGUGUAAAGGGAGCGUAGACGGUUCUGCAAGUCUGAAGUGAAAGCCCGUGGCUUAACCGCGGAACGGCUUUGGAAACUGUGGAACUGGAGUGCUGGAGAGGCAAGCGGAAUUCCUAGUGUAGCGGUGAAAUGCGUAGAUAUGAGGAGGAACACCAGUGGCGAAGGCGGCUUGCUGGACAGUAACUGACGUUGAGGCUCGAAAGCGUGGGGAGCAAACAGGAUUAGAUACCCUUGUAGUC
Molecule: ribosomal RNA, 460 nt
Filed under: uncultured bacterium
Lineage: Bacteria
Description: partial 16S ribosomal RNA
Rfam family: Bacterial small subunit ribosomal RNA
Source: RNAcentral